GCCCUGGACUCUGGGAUAAGCGCUGGAAACGGCGUCUAAUACUGGAUAUGAGACGUGAUCGCAUGGUCGUGUUUGGAAAGAUUUUUCGGUCUGGGAUGGGCUCGCGGCCUAUCAGCUUGUUGGUGAGGUAAUGGCUCACCAAGGCGUCGACGGGUAGCCGGCCUGAGAGGGUGACCGGCCACACUGGGACUGAGACACGGCCCAGACUCCUACGGGAGGCAGCAGUGGGGAAUAUUGCACAAUGGGCGGAAGCCUGAUGCAGCAACGCCGCGUGAGGGAUGACGGCCUUCGGGUUGUAAACCUCUUUUAGCAGGGAAGAAGCGAAAGUGACGGUACCUGCAGAAAAAGCGCCGGCUAACUACGUGCCAGCAGCCGCGGUAAUACGUAGGGCGCAAGCGUUAUCCGGAAUUAUUGGGCGUAAAGAGCUCGUAGGCGGUUUGUCGCGUCUGCUGUGAAAUCCCGAGGCUCAACCUCGGGCCUGCAGUGGGUACGGGCAGACUAGAGUGCGGUAGGGGAGAUUGGAAUUCCUGGUGUAGCGGUGGAAUGCGCAGAUAUCAGGAGGAACACCGAUGGCGAA
Molecule: ribosomal RNA, 577 nt
Filed under: Microbacterium sp. 09WSK7-7
Lineage: Bacteria; Bacillati; Actinomycetota; Actinomycetes; Micrococcales; Microbacteriaceae
Description: bacterial SSU rRNA
Rfam family: Bacterial small subunit ribosomal RNA
Source: RNAcentral